Molecule: ribosomal RNA, 267 nt
Filed under: Arachnodes splendidus
Lineage: Eukaryota; Metazoa; Arthropoda; Insecta; Coleoptera; Scarabaeidae
Description: partial 28S ribosomal RNA
Rfam family: Eukaryotic large subunit ribosomal RNA
Source: RNAcentral
GAGUCAUUGGGACUCUGAUAAACCUAAAGGCGCAAUGAAAGUAAAGGUCCGCCUCGCGCGGACCGAGGGAGGAUGGGCCCGUCCACGGGCGGGCCCCGCACUCCCGGGGCGUCUCGUUCUCAUCGCGAGAAGAGGCGCACCCAGAGCGUACACGCUGGGACCCGAAAGAUGGUGAACUAUGCCUGGUCAGGACGAAGUCAGGGGAAACCCUGAUGGAGGUCCGUAGCGAUUCUGACGUGCAAAUCGAUCGUCGGAACUGGGUAUAGG